GCACUGAUUAUAUAACGGCAUCUUACUGAAAUGGACAUCGGGAUCUGUUUCGGGUGGAAAAUCCCUCUCCCGCCAGCCUGCGCUCUGAUCCUCUGAUCACCGGCCCGCAGCCAUCUCACUGCCUGCCGGCGAGCCCGGCGGUCAGAGGCUGUGUCGUGGCCGUGGGUCCCCGGGUGGGGGUGGGGGUUACCUCAGUCCCUGCUCCUCCGUCUGAGAAGAGGGGAAAACUCUGCCUUCCCCAUCUGUUGUUUCCCCGCUUUUUGGCUGUCGGAAAGUGAAAUUAUGCAAGAGCUGUUGAAUCCACCGAGGAGGAGGACGAUGGGCUGAAUCCGUGGCCCAGAAGAUCAGCCCAGACACCACUGCAACCACCACCCAGACACCGGGGCCAACACAGCGCAGACACCACUGCAACCACUGCACAGACAGUGCAGACAGAGCACAGACACCGCUGCCACUGCUGAGCAGACAUAGCGCAGACGCGACCGCGGAGACCACACAGAUAUCACUGCCACCCACUGUGCAGGCACUGCAAGGAGGCCACGGCCACCACUGUUGAGGCACCGGUGCCGACACUGCACAGACACCACUGCCACCACUGAGUAGACACUGGUGGAGGAACAGCACAGCACCACUACCACUGUUGCACAGACACCGGUGCAGGUUCAGCCACAUGGACCAGAGCAAACGCUGAUGAACAACGGCACGGACUUCAUCACAGGCAUCAGCGCAGAUUCUGCAGCAGACAGCAGGGAUCCACCCUCUGCCACGGUGCCCGCCACUCCUCCCCUAGGCUGUUCUCUCCAGGAGGCACGUAGAGCCGGCAGGAAGAGGGCUUAGAACAGUGCUUUGCACAUAAUGUGGGAACUGAGGCCCAGAGAAGUUAAGUGACUUGCCCAAAGUCACACAGCUGACAGUUGGUAGAGCCGGGAUUUCAGCCCUGCUACUCAUCACCCUGGCACAAACUCAUGGACGGAUCCUUUCAGCCUCAGACCUGUGGUGUGGUUACUUCUGAAUGUGGCAGAUGCCCGAGCCAGCCACCCAAGGGCAGGAUGAGGUCAUCUGAGGGGGCCGGACCCCAACUGGCUCCAUGUGACCGGAAUUGAGGAUGCGGAUGGUCACCAUGGAGACAGAACCUUGUUCUUGUGGCUGUCCGAGGGCUGGGAGGUUCUGGACCAGGCCCAACUUCGGCAAGGGUCAGGAGGGCGUCAACCUUCCAGCUGACCCUGCUGGCCACAUGCCCCUCUGAAAGAUGGAGCUGGACCCAGAUGGGGGUGGAACUGAUGUGAAACCAAAACCGUCAACUCAGAAACCCGGACAGCAAUGUCGGCUGUCACUGGAGGUUGGGGGUGCGUGGUGGGUACGCGCGUGUCUGGGUGGGUGUGUGCGCGAGUGUGUGACUUUGAGUGUCUGCUUCCUUUGCUUCCCUGGACUCUGUCCUCUCAUGGGCCACGAGCUUCUUGGCAAAAAACUGUUCAGCCUGGUUCUGACUUCUCCUGCUCCCUAGGCAUUUGGCUGGCAGGUGCGGGUUCCACACCCUACAACCCACAGCCCCCCCCUCUGCCCCCAUGCCCCCUGCCCUGCCCCAACCCUCUGUCCUGCAGCCCCCACCCCAUGGCACUGAACCGUGGCUGUCUGUGGCUGGGGCCCAUCUGGACACAGAGGAGAAAAAGAUGGUUAGUGUACAUGGCGAGGUGGAGGGCACUGUACAGAGUGCCUCUGGGCUGGAGGGCACCGUACUGAGAACCCAGGCCUCCUUACAUUGAACUCAGCCAAUUGGCUGGCCCCCACGUAACAGGGGAACCACAAAUACUGCAAGCCAACCAAUGAGUCCAGCUAGCCUGAGGGGGGUAUGGGGCGGGGUUGGCUAGCCCCUUCCAUCCAAGGGUGGGUCUUUGGCUCACCCCUCCCCUGUGUGGGUGGGGUUUUACUCCCCCCCUCCCCCCCCACCUCGUGGAUGGGUUCUCCCCAUAGAGGGGCCAGACUGGGACCUCUCCUCUCCCGCCGAGCCCAGUGGGACCCUUCUCGCUUUGUCCUUUGGGAGGUCCCAGCUCUGAGCUCCAAUCCCUUCCUGUCCUGGCAGCGAGCAGGUGAGUAAGAGUCUCCGACUAUAGCUACAUUGAGACCCACUCCUGUUGCCCUUGUACCCCCAGUGCCGCUGCUCACUCCCACCAGGGUGGCAACGGGGUGCUGGGAAUGGCCGUUGCUUGCACGUUGACAUUUCAUGGAGGGGGGGCUGAACCCCGCACCCUAAAAAUAUCAACUGCAUUAGUCUCAAAAUAAUUAAUGGCAGGCAUUAUGCAAAUGACAACUUUUUCACUGCAAAAUAAUGACAUUUCUUCAUUUUGAGCAGAAUAAUGCAAAACAAUGAAUUUGGAGCGAUAAAUCACCCAGGAGCAGGAAGGGAGCCAUAAAGCUCCCAGGCGGGCAGGCAGAGAGGUAGGCAGGUAGAUAGCUCGAUAACUCAGAAGACGCAGUGUGAUCUCACACCACUGUGGAGAGUUCAAGAGUCCCCACCAGCAGGCCACUAGG
Molecule: long non-coding RNA, 2529 nt
Organism: Tachyglossus aculeatus (Australian echidna)
Lineage: Eukaryota; Metazoa; Chordata; Mammalia; Monotremata; Tachyglossidae
Exons: 3
Source: RefSeq, a predicted model, not a curated record